Molecule: ribosomal RNA, 250 nt
Filed under: uncultured bacterium
Lineage: Bacteria
Description: partial 16S ribosomal RNA
Rfam family: Bacterial small subunit ribosomal RNA
Source: RNAcentral
CUUCGGUCUUUAGUGGCGAACGGUCGAGUAACACGUAGACAACCUGCCGAUAAGUGGGGGAUACCCGCUCGAAAGGGCGGCUAAUACCGCAUGUGGUGGAGGGCUGCCUGGCCCUUCUACUAAAGGUUUACUGCUUAUCGAUGGGUCUGCGGCCUAUCAGGUAGUUGGUGGGGUAACGGCCUACCAAGCCGACGACGGGUAGCGGGUCUGAGAGGAUGAUCCGCCGGACGGGGACUGAGACACGGCCCCG